GACGAACGCUGGCGGCGUGCUUAACACAUGCAAGUCGAACGGAAAGGCCCUGCUUUUGUGGGGUGCUCGAGUGGCGAACGGGUGAGUAACACGUGAGUAACCUGCCCCUGACUUUGGGAUAACUUCAGGAAACUGGGGCUAAUACCGGAUAGGAGCUCCUGCUGCAUGGUGGGGGUUGGAAAGUUUCGGCGGUUGGGGAUGGACUCGCGGCUUAUCAGCUUGUUGGUGGGGUAGUGGCUUACCAAGGCUUUGACGGGUAGCCGGCCUGAGAGGGUGACCGGCCACAUUGGGACUGAGAUACGGCCCAGACUCCUACGGGAGGCAGCAGUGGGGAAUAUUGCACAAUGGGCGGAAGCCUGAUGCAGCAACGCCGCGUGCGGGAUGACGGCCUUCGGGUUGUAAACCGCUUUCGCCUGUGACGAAGCGUGAGUGACGGGAAUGGGUAAAGAAGCACCGGCUAACUACGU
RNAcentral lists this ribosomal RNA (467 nucleotides) under uncultured bacterium. Its description in RNAcentral is "partial 16S ribosomal RNA". It matches the Rfam family "Bacterial small subunit ribosomal RNA", at positions 28 to 506 of the family's 1533-position model. The record is from RNAcentral.